RNAcentral lists this ribosomal RNA (253 nucleotides) under uncultured bacterium. RNAcentral's name for it is "partial 16S ribosomal RNA". It matches the Rfam family "Bacterial small subunit ribosomal RNA", at positions 524 to 776 of the family's 1533-position model. The record is from RNAcentral.
UACGUAGGGUGCGAGCGUUGUCCGGAAUUAUUGGGCGUAAAGAGCUUGUAGGCGGUUUGUCGCGUCUGCUGUGAAAAUCCGGGGCUCAACCCCGGACUUGCAGUGGGUACGGGCAGACUGGAGUGUGGUAGGGGAGACUGGAAUUCCUGGUGUAGCGGUGAAAUGCGCAGAUAUCAGGAGGAACACCGGUGGCGAAGGCGGGUCUCUGGGCCGAUACUGACGCUGAGGAGCGAAAGCGUGGGGAGCGAACAGG